UUACACACAGUGUCUUUUUGAUACAGAACUCUUGCUUUGGUUUGGCCUAGAGAUAGGUUGGGCCAGAGGUUUAACAAAACACAAUUUAAUUAUUUUUACAGUUAGUCAAAUUUUGAAUUAAUCUUCAAAACUUUCAACAACGGAUCUCUUGGUUCUCGCAUCGAUGAAGAACGCAGCGAAAUGCGAUAAGUAAUAUGAAUUGCAGAUUUUCGUGAAUCAUCGAAUCUUUGAACGCACAUUGCGCCCUCUGGUAUUCCAGAGGGCAUGCCUGUUUGAGCGUCAUUUCUCUCUCAAACCCCCGGGUUUGGUAUUGAGUGAUACUCUUAGUCGGACUAGGCGUUUGCUUGAAAAGUAUUGGCAUGGGUAGUACUGGAUAGUGCUGUCGACCUCUCAAUGUAUUAGGUUUAUCCAACUCGUUGAAUGGUGUGGCGGGAUAUUUCUGGUAUUGUUGGCCCGGCCUUACAACAACCAAACAAGUUUGACCUCAAAUCAGGUAGGAAUACCCGCUGAACUUAAGCAUAUCAAU
Molecule: ribosomal RNA, 526 nt
Filed under: Meyerozyma guilliermondii
Lineage: Eukaryota; Fungi; Ascomycota; Pichiomycetes; Serinales; Debaryomycetaceae
Description: eukaryotic LSU rRNA
Rfam family: 5.8S ribosomal RNA (bases 129-282)
Source: RNAcentral